Molecule: ribosomal RNA, 250 nt
Filed under: uncultured Chroococcidiopsis sp.
Lineage: Bacteria; Bacillati; Cyanobacteriota; Cyanophyceae; Chroococcidiopsidales; Chroococcidiopsidaceae
Description: partial 16S ribosomal RNA
Rfam family: Bacterial small subunit ribosomal RNA
Source: RNAcentral
CUAGCCGUAAACGAUGGAUACUAGGCGUUGUGAGUAUCGACCCUCACAGUGUCGUAGCUAACGCGUUAGGUAUCCCGCCUGGGGAGUACGCGCGCAAGCGUGAAACUCAAAGGAAUUGACGGGGGCCCGCACAAGCGGUGGAGUAUGUGGUUUAAUUCGAUGCAACGCGAAGAACCUUACCAGGACUUGACAUGUCGCGAAUCUCAGGGAAACUUGAGAGUGCCUUCGGGAGCGCGAACACAGGUGGUGC